GCUCCCAACAAAACGGUUCCAUCUUUGGCUAGGCCUUUGGUAUUUCAAGGCGCUGCCGGUGGGGAGAGAUGCCGCGUGCCUGAGAGGCUCUGGGAGGCACCAAAGAAGGCCCAGAGAGGUUUAACAACUUCCUCAGAAUCACACAGCUUCCAAAUGGUUGGGUUGGGUUUACAUUUAGGCGGUCUUGCUCCAGAGCCAGUGCUCCUAACCUUUGCAAGCCACGAACCUCAAGAAAGUGGAGAAGGAAACGCUGGGAAAUCUGGAAGUCAGACAUGGCAAGUUUUUCUCACUGUAAGAAGAGGACAAUAGCCUAUGAUCUACAGUGCCCAUUCCAACUCAGAGAAUCUUUACAUCUGGAGAUCUAUAGCAGGGCUAUCCCUAGUGACAUGCGUGAAGAAGCUUGGAAAUGGUGCUGGGUAGGAGCUGAGUGUGCAGAAUGUGGAAAGGCAUUCUAAACCAAAGGAAGAACACGAGUAAAGAUGAUGAAGCAGGGAUAAGGCUAAAAUGAAAUUUGUGAUCUGAUCCACAUACAAGCACAGUGUAGUACAGCUGGAAUAUAGAGAAGAGCUUGAAGACUUAUGAGCAACUAUCCCGGUACUCUUGGAGGCUCUGCAACCACAGUUUGAGAAACUCCGCGUUCAAAGUUAAAAACUGUCACCUGAAUAGUUAAUAACAUCAAAGAUUGUGAAAGCAAGUAUAAAUAACACAGAGAUUAAAAUAAUGAGGCAGGAU
This 732-nucleotide long non-coding RNA is filed under the name Homo sapiens (human). Its description in RNAcentral is "non-protein coding lnc-CPN2-4:11". The record is from RNAcentral. Lineage: Eukaryota; Metazoa; Chordata; Mammalia; Primates; Hominidae.